CAUGGCUCAGGACAAACGCUGGCGGCAUGCCUAACACAUGCAAGUCGAACGGACAGAACAGGGAAGCUUUUCGGAGUGGAACUGGAAAGUUAGUGGCGGAUGGGUGAGUAACGCGUGGACAACCUACCUUGUAAAGGGGAAUAACCUCGAGAAAUCGAAGCUAAUACCCCAUAAUAACCUUGCUUCGCAUGAAGUAAGGAGGAAAGGCGGCCUUAGCGCUGUCGAUACAAGAUGGGUCCGCGUCUGAUUAGCUAGUUGGUGAGGUAAAGGCUCACCAAGGCGACGAUCAGUAGCCGGCCUGAGAGGGUGAACGGCCACAUUGGGACUGAGACACGGCCCAAACUCCUACGG
RNAcentral lists this ribosomal RNA (351 nucleotides) under uncultured bacterium. RNAcentral's name for it is "bacterial SSU rRNA". It matches the Rfam family "Bacterial small subunit ribosomal RNA", at positions 18 to 344 of the family's 1533-position model. The record is from RNAcentral.